GCCGCUCUCUCUCUCCCUCUGGCGAUCCAGGCGAUUCAGAAGAUUUCUCCCAGAUCCGUUCCGAUUUUGCUCCCAAUAGCGGUUGUAGGGUAUUAUGUAAAGAGUGAAAAACAAAGAUCCAGCACAACCAUGUCUGGUGGCGCCAUAUGGAUGAAGAACAGAGUUCAGAUCUAGCGGUGGACCAGUAUUUUUCACGACUUUUUUAUCCUUCACCGGUGAAAUCGAGCACAUCCAGAGCGUAUUAGAAGGGAUAUACGUAGGGUGAGCAAUGGGAGUUGGUAAAGGCAAUUUGGAACCUGCAAAUAAUGUAUCAGCAGUUUGACUCAAACAUUGUGAAGGGAGGCUUGUUAACAUUAACUUUGGAUUCAUUUUUGAGAUAUCACCUGGUGAUUUUAAAGUGUGAGCCAAAGUGUCGAUUUGCAUGGAACGUCUGCUAAUGAGAAAUCUGCUAAACCUCCUAGGAGGUUGUCCAUCCCCAGCAAGCCAAUUGCCAGUCCUACAAGAUAUACAGAGGUGAAAUGACAGAUGAAAAUGGACAUUUAACCACCAAAAUGUUAUGUUGCCGAUUGCAGACAGACGAUUGAUUCAUAUUCUAUCACAGCAACACCAAACUUUGGCCUCCUUAGAGAUCCUUUUUCUAUAUAUUCGCCACUAUAUGAUAUUGGAUGUGAAAAUAACUUUGACGAUGACGCAAAGGCUCGAUUGCUAUCUGAAUGUGAGAAAUAGUAUAGCAAGAAGAUUUACAAAGAGUCAAGGAAAAUAUCAUCAUGGUCAGGAAAGGGUUCAUUACAUGAACAACUUGGAGAGCUUUCCAUUAGCCAUGGAUGUAGCGUUACUCAUACUGUAUUUAACGUGAAUGUAAUGGUGGGAGUUGGGCUUCUUUCUACGCCUUUUACGAUUGCGCAAGUAGGGUGGGCUGGGUUUUCUAUUCGUGUUUGGCGUCAUAUGUUGUUACACUGCUUCGCUCAUGAAAUGGUGCUUUGAGAGCAAAGAAGGUAUUCUUAGUUAUCCGGAUAUUGGAGAAGCUGCAUUUGGGAAAUAUGGUCGCCUUAUUGUAUCAAUUAUCUUGUAACGUUCACACAGAUCUCUGGGAGGCAAAUUAGACAAAGUCAUCACACAACUUGAUAGUUGUAUAAUUUAACAAAAAUGAUCCACCAGUUGCAUACUUGUUGUGUAGCUUUUGUCCCAAAUAGUCAUAGUGAAAAAAAAUAUCAUCUAAUUGAUAGAUUAUGAGAGCGUAAGUUAGUGCUUGAUAGAUGUUAUUUAGGAUAGAAUUAAAAAAUCUUUUUGAAGGUUUAUAGACUUUACAAAUAAAAGCCAAGGAUUGGAAUUUUAGUCUCAUCAGCAUAUACGCAUUCGCCUCUGCUUCUUUUUCGCUUUUUAUAUUGUUUGCAAAAACUGACAUUGCAUAGAACAGACUUAUUAAUUUGUUAUCAUAAUAUACGAAUAU
Molecule: long non-coding RNA, 1450 nt
Filed under: Helianthus annuus (common sunflower)
Lineage: Eukaryota; Viridiplantae; Streptophyta; Magnoliopsida; Asterales; Asteraceae
Source: RNAcentral